This 388-nucleotide ribosomal RNA is filed under the name uncultured bacterium. RNAcentral describes it as "bacterial SSU rRNA". It matches the Rfam family "Bacterial small subunit ribosomal RNA", at positions 29 to 416 of the family's 1533-position model. The record is from RNAcentral.
AUUGAACGCUGGCGGCAUGCCUUACACAUGCAAGUCGAGCGCGAAAAGGGGGCAACCCCGAGUAGAGCGGCGGACGGGUGAGUAACACAUCGGAACGUGCCCAGUAGUGGGGGACAACCUCGAGAAAUCGAGGCUAAUACCGCAUACGACCCACGGGUGAAAGCGGGGGACCGCAAGGCCUCGCGCUAUUGGAGCGGCCGAUGUCCGAUUAGCUAGUUGGCGGGGUAAGAGCCCCACCAAGGCGACGAUCGGUAGCUGGUCUGAGAGGACGACCAGCCACACUGGGACUGAGACACGGCCCAGACUCCUACGGGAGGCAGCAGUGGGGAAGUUUUGGUACAAUGGGGGCAACCCCUGAUCCAGCCAUGCCGCGUGCGGGAAGAAGGCC